AUUGAACGCUGGCGGAAUGCUUUACACAUGCAAGUCGAACGGCAGCAUAGGUGCUUGCACCUGAUGGCGAGUGGCGAACGGGUGAGUAAUAUAUCGGAACGUGCCCAGUCGUGGGGGAUAACGUAGCGAAAGCUACGCUAAUACCGCAUACGAUCUACGGAUGAAAGCGGGGGACCUUCGGGCCUCGCGCGAUUGGAGCGGCCGAUAUCAGAUUAGGUAGUUGGUGGGGUACAGGCUCACCAAGCCAACGAUCUGUAGCUGGUCUGAGAGGACGACCAGCCACACUGGGACUGAGACACGGCCCAGACGCCUACGGGAGGCAGCAGUGGGGAAUUUUGGACAAUGGACGCAAGUCUGAUCCAGCCAUUCCGCGUGCAGGACGAAGGCCUUCGGGUUGUAAACUGCUUUUGUACAGAACGAAAAGGUUUCUACUAAUACUAGGGGCUCAUGACGGUACUGUAAGAAUAAGCACCGGCUAACUACGUGCCAGCCGCCGCCGUAA
Molecule: ribosomal RNA, 502 nt
Filed under: uncultured bacterium
Lineage: Bacteria
Description: partial 16S ribosomal RNA
Rfam family: Bacterial small subunit ribosomal RNA
Source: RNAcentral